This is a small nuclear RNA of Tursiops truncatus (common bottlenose dolphin), 107 nucleotides long. The record is from Ensembl. Lineage: Eukaryota; Metazoa; Chordata; Mammalia; Artiodactyla; Delphinidae.
GUGCUCGCUUCAGCAACACACAUACUAAAAUUGGAAUGAUACAGGGAAGAUUAGCAUGGCCCCUGUGCAAGGAUGACGUGCAAAUUCAUGAAGUGCUCCAUAUUAAA